GCUACCGUAGCUCAGUUGGUAGAGCAGCUGAUUCGUAAUCAGCAGGUCGGCGGUUCGAGUCCGCCCGGUAGCUCCA
Molecule: transfer RNA, 76 nt
Filed under: Clostridia bacterium
Lineage: Bacteria; Bacillati; Bacillota; Clostridia
Description: tRNA-Thr
Rfam family: tRNA
About the family: Transfer RNA (tRNA) molecules are approximately 80 nucleotides in length. Their secondary structure includes four short double-helical elements and three loops (D, anti-codon, and T loops).
Source: RNAcentral